AUAAAAGGAAGUUAAGAUUGAUUUGCAAUCAAUUAUUAUGAAAUUUCAUAC
Molecule: transfer RNA, 51 nt
Filed under: Trichonephila clavata
Lineage: Eukaryota; Metazoa; Arthropoda; Arachnida; Araneae; Nephilidae
Description: tRNA-Ala
Source: RNAcentral